AUUGAACGCUGGCGCCAUGCUUAACACAUGCAAGUCGAACGGUAACAGGUCUAGCUUGCUAGAUGCUGACGAGUGGCGGACGGGUGAGUAACGCGUGGGAAUCUGCCUUCUAGUGGGGGAUAGCCCGGAGAAAUCCGGAUUAAUACCGCAUACGCCCUACGGGGAAAGCCGGGGAUCUUCGGACCUGGCGCUAGUAGAUGAGCCCGCGUGAGAUUAGCUUGUUGGUGGGGUAAUGGCCUACCAAGGCAACGAUCUCUAGCUGGUCUGAGAGGACGAUCAGCCACACUGGGACUGAGACACGGCCCAGACUCCUACGGGAGGCAGCAGUGGGGAAUAUUGGACAAUGGGCGAAAGCCUGAUCCAGCAAUGCCGCGUGUGUGAAGAAGGCCUGAGGGUUGUAAAGCACUUUCAAUCGUGAAGAAAAGUUGCAGGCUAAUACCCUGUGACCUUGACGUUAACGAUACAAGAAGCACCGGCUAACU
RNAcentral lists this ribosomal RNA (482 nucleotides) under uncultured bacterium. RNAcentral describes it as "bacterial SSU rRNA". It matches the Rfam family "Bacterial small subunit ribosomal RNA", at positions 30 to 502 of the family's 1533-position model. The record is from RNAcentral.